Molecule: small nucleolar RNA, 138 nt
Organism: Ornithorhynchus anatinus (platypus)
Lineage: Eukaryota; Metazoa; Chordata; Mammalia; Monotremata; Ornithorhynchidae
Source: RefSeq, a predicted model, not a curated record
CCCCUCUCAGGGUCACACCUGGAGCGUUUUCGGGACUCUACCAGACACGGCUCCAGGAGGGAGAGUCAGGCAGAGGCCUACCCAUUCCAUUCCUAGCUUGGGCAGCGGCUAGUGAGCGGAAGGCAAUCUGCUACAAGU